UAGGAUUCGCAGUUUUCGCUGUCAACUACGGAUCGUGGUUAGCCCUGAUACAGUCGGAGGAUAUUUAUUAUUGAAAACCUGUGGUUAAUUUGGUUUUGCACUUUUAUAAUAACGUAACAUCGCCACGGAGCGCCAGAACUCAGCGCUAACGGGCGCCAAUCGCUUCAAUGAAACAUAUAUGCCAGUACUGGCUAUUGAAGAUGCAAG
Long non-coding RNA from Trichoplusia ni (cabbage looper), 207 nucleotides. RefSeq lists it as uncharacterized. The record is from RefSeq and is a predicted model, not a curated record. NCBI's taxonomy places the organism in Eukaryota, Metazoa, Arthropoda, Insecta, Lepidoptera, Noctuidae. The transcript is spliced from 2 exons.